AAGAAACCAACAGGGAUUGCCCCAGUAACGGCGAGUGAAGCGGCAACAGCUCAAAUUUGAAAUCUGGCCCCUAGGGUCCGAGUUGUAAUUUGUAGAGGAUGCUUUUGGCGCGGCGCCUUCCGAGUUCCCUGGAACGGGACGCCAUAGAGGGUGAGAGCCCCGUCUGGUUGGAUGCCUAGCCUCUGUAAAGCUCCUUCGACGAGUCGAGUAGUUUGGGAAUGCUGCUCUAAAUGGGAGGUAUAUGUCUUCUAAAGCUAAAUACCGGCCAGAGACCGAUAGCGCACAAGUAGAGUGAUCGAAAGAUGAAAAGCACUUUGAAAAGAGGGUUAAAUAGUACGUGAAAUUGUUGAAAGGGAAGCGUUUGUGACCAGACUUGGGCCCGGUUGAUCAUCCAGCGUUUUCGCUGGUGCACUCUGCCGGCCCAGGCCAGCAUCAGUUCGCGCCGGGGGAUAAAGGCUUCGGGAAUGUGGCUCUUCGGAGUGUUAUAGCCCGUUGUGUAAUACCCUGGUGCGGACUGAGGUUCGCGCUCCGCAAGGAUGCUGGCGUAAUGGUCAUCAGCGACCCGUCUUGAAACACGGACCAAGGAGUCGUCUUCGUAUGCGAGUGUUCGGGUGUCAAACCCCUACGCGUAAUGAAAGUGAACGCAGGUGAGAGCUUCGGCGCAUCAUCGACCGAUCCUGAUGUUCUCGGAUGGAUUUGAGUAAGAGCAUACGGGGCCGGACCCGAAAGAAGGUGAACUAUGCCUGUAUAGGGUGAAGCCAGAGGAAACUCUGGUGGAGGCUCGCAGCGGUUCUGACGUGCAAAUCGAUCGUCAAAUAUGGGCAUGGGGGCGAAAGACUAAUCGA
This 845-nucleotide ribosomal RNA is filed under the name Niesslia ligustica. RNAcentral describes it as "eukaryotic LSU rRNA". It matches the Rfam family "Eukaryotic large subunit ribosomal RNA", at positions 59 to 938 of the family's 3401-position model. Lineage: Eukaryota; Fungi; Ascomycota; Sordariomycetes; Hypocreales; Niessliaceae. The record is from RNAcentral.